GCCUGGCUCAGUCAGUAAAGCAUGUGACUUUUGAUCUCAAGGUUGUGAGUUCAAGCCCCACGUUGGGCA
RNAcentral lists this transfer RNA (69 nucleotides) under Ailuropoda melanoleuca (giant panda). It matches the Rfam family "tRNA". Rfam says of the family: Transfer RNA (tRNA) molecules are approximately 80 nucleotides in length. Their secondary structure includes four short double-helical elements and three loops (D, anti-codon, and T loops). Further hydrogen bonds mediate the characteristic L-shaped molecular structure. tRNAs have two regions of fundamental functional importance: the anti-codon, which is responsible for specific mRNA codon recognition, and the 3' end, to which the tRNAs corresponding amino acid is attached (by aminoacyl-tRNA synthetases). tRNAs cope with the degeneracy of the genetic code in two manners: having more than one tRNA (with a specific anti-codon) for a particular amino acid; and 'wobble' base-pairing, i.e. permitting non-standard base-pairing at the 3rd anti-codon position. Lineage: Eukaryota; Metazoa; Chordata; Mammalia; Carnivora; Ursidae. The record is from Rfam by way of RNAcentral.